Molecule: ribosomal RNA, 307 nt
Filed under: Clostridioides difficile
Lineage: Bacteria; Bacillati; Bacillota; Clostridia; Peptostreptococcales; Peptostreptococcaceae
Description: partial 16S ribosomal RNA
Rfam family: Bacterial small subunit ribosomal RNA
Source: RNAcentral
AGUACAGAGGGUUGCCAAGCCGUAAGGUGGAGCUAAUCCCUUAAAGCUACUCUCAGUUCGGAUUGUAGGCUGAAACUCGCCUACAUGAAGCUGGAGUUACUAGUAAUCGCAGAUCAGAAUGCUGCGGGGAAUGCGUUCCCGGGUCUUGUACACACCGCCCGUCACACCACGGGAGUUGGAGACGCCCGAAGCCGAUUAUCUAACCUUUUGGAAGAAGUCGUCGAAGGUGGAAUCAAUAACUGGGGUGAAGUCGUAACAAGGUAGCCGUAUCGGAAGGUGCGGCUGGAUCACCUCCUUUCUAAGGAGA